GAAUUUUUUUAUGAAAGUCAAAUGUGUUUCUAGGUGGACAUGGCUAAAGUGAAGAUGGAUGUUAUGAAACCGUGGAUUGCAAAGCGCGUGACUGAGCUUAUUGGAUUUGAAGAUGAAGUUCUUAUUAAUUUCAUUUAUGGUCUACUUGAGGGAAAGGUAUCUCAAAACACUGACUUGUAUUGUUUACUUGUGUGAUUGUCAGUUAGCUGAUUUUAAUUGUUUGAUGAUUGAUUUAUUAUAAAUGUGAGUUAUUGAGCUUUGAGAAUGCAGAACUAUUUUUGACUUCUUAAUAUUAAAAAUUUAUAUCUACUCUAAACAUUUGACGGUGGUUAUGUUUUAAUAGGCAAGUGAGGCCAUUAAACUGUUAAGUUAAUUUUAGAGAAUGCUUCUGCUUUGGAUAACUGUUGGUGUGGAUAUGAUUGGGUGCAGGAAGUUAAUGGGAAGGCGGUUCAAAUUCAACUUACUGGUUUCAUGGAGAGAAACACUGGGAAGUUUAUGAAAGAGCUUUGGUCACUACUUCUGAGUGCACAGAAAAAUGUGAGUGGUGUUCCACAGCAGUUUCUGGAUGCUAAAGAGGAGGAAACUAAGAACAAGAAGGUCUACUCACGCUUCCUUAAGUUUUUGGAUCUUCUAUAUCUGUGGUGUGUCUUUGUUUAAUAAUAUGUCCAUGGGGUGUUACAGGCAGAGACUGAUCGUAUCGCAAAUGAAAUUCAAAGGAAGAAAGAGAAGGAAAAGCAGGAUCUUGAGCAAGAGAUAGAUAAAAUGGUAAUUGAAAACCCUUUUUUAUGCAAAAGUUAGA
Molecule: long non-coding RNA, 799 nt
Filed under: Olea europaea subsp. europaea
Lineage: Eukaryota; Viridiplantae; Streptophyta; Magnoliopsida; Lamiales; Oleaceae
Source: RNAcentral